This is a long non-coding RNA of Manihot esculenta (cassava), 493 nucleotides long. RefSeq lists it as uncharacterized. The record is from RefSeq and is a predicted model, not a curated record. The transcript is spliced from 2 exons. NCBI's taxonomy places the organism in Eukaryota, Viridiplantae, Streptophyta, Magnoliopsida, Malpighiales, Euphorbiaceae.
UUUUCACGCUGUGGUUUUUCGUCUAGCUUUGCAUGUCGUUGUUUCUGGUGUUGCUUGCCAGUGAAUUUCCUCGGAAUAUCUCAUCUCAGCAGUUCCUUUGCUUUUGUUUGCUCGUGUUUCGGUGUUUCAUAGUAUCUGAAAAAAAAAAAGGGAGAAACAGGAAGUGAAUAUUUAUAUAUUUAUCUACCCUUAGUUCCUUAUCUAGCAUUCGUUGUUCGCAAUUGGCCUUUGUUGGUCUUCACUCUCCUAAUCUUUUUAUUUGCAAUUCUCAAAUUUUAUAUCUUGUAAGUUAUGACCUCAUUUUCUGUUGAUUAUGUAGCAGAACUACGGCAUACACAAACCAUACUGUUUUACCUGAAGCUUUGGAGAAAUAGAGUUUAGAUCUUAUGCAGAAACUGUUACCUCGACAUGUAGAGAUCAUAGAUAUGAUUGAUGAAGAGCUGAUAAACACAAUUGUUUCUGAGUAUGGGAGGGAAGAUUCAGACCUUUUGGA